GGCUUGGGAAGAAUUAGCAAUAGAAUUUAAUAACUCUAACGUGUCACAUACUUACAAUUUUUUUUCGAUUUUAGGCUGAUUCUAAACAAUUAAAAAAGAUGUGGCAAAAUAUGAAGGCAAAAGCUAGGGAUGCCAAAACCCUUGAAGCCCAAAGGAAGAGGACAGGAGGAGGACCAGCACCGCCUGAAAUGGGGCCAAUGGACACUCAAGUGAUUGCAGUCAUGCAAG
Molecule: long non-coding RNA, 228 nt
Organism: Pieris napi
Lineage: Eukaryota; Metazoa; Arthropoda; Insecta; Lepidoptera; Pieridae
Exons: 2
Source: RefSeq, a predicted model, not a curated record